GGUUUGCCAGGGCGUCGUGAUGCUAAUUCAUGUCGCAGUGUGACUCUCAUCACCUCGCAUGUCAACAAACAGAGCGCCCAGGCUAGGGCAGUAAACCUACUUCUGUUUCCUACCCUCAAGUCAAUAAUAGUCUCAGCUAUUCUUUGUAUUCAGAGUUUUUCACCAACUUAAAUGUAUUUAGAAAUGUGAAUGGAACUGAAGAGUCAAAUUUUUAGGGACUUAAUUAAAAUUGAAAUGCAUUUUCUUA
This is a long non-coding RNA of Symphalangus syndactylus (siamang), 247 nucleotides long. RefSeq lists it as uncharacterized. Lineage: Eukaryota; Metazoa; Chordata; Mammalia; Primates; Hylobatidae. The record is from RefSeq and is a predicted model, not a curated record.